Molecule: ribosomal RNA, 463 nt
Filed under: uncultured bacterium
Lineage: Bacteria
Description: partial 16S ribosomal RNA
Rfam family: Bacterial small subunit ribosomal RNA
Source: RNAcentral
GAUGAACGCUGACAGAAUGCUUAACACAUGCAAGUCGAUGGGGAAGUGGUGCUUGCACCAUGGUAACCAUGGCGGACGGGUGAGUAACGCGUAAGGAACUUACCUGCGGGACCGGGAUAACAGCAGGAAACUGCUGACAAGACCGGAUAAGGUCAUUAAGCUGCAUAGCUUAGUGAUGAAAGGAGACGCCUGCGGAGAGCCUUGCGUCCUAUUAGCUAGUUGGAGGGGUAACGGCCCACCAAGGCGAAGAUAGGUAGCCGGCCUGAGAGGGUGGACGGCCACAAGGGGACUGAGAUACGGCCAUUACUCCUACGGGAGGCAGCAGUGGGGAAUAUUGGACAAUGGGGGCAACCCUGAUGCAGCAAUUCUGUGUGCACGAAGACGGUUUUCGGAUUGUAAAGUGCUUUCAGGAGGGAAGAAGGAAGUGACGGUACCUGCAGAAGAAGCGACGGCUAAAUACGUG